GGAGGACCAUCUCCUAAGGCUAAAUACUCUCUAGUGACCGAUAGUGAACCAGUACCGUGAGGGAAAGGUGAAAAGCACCCCGGAAGGGGAGUGAAAUAGAACCUGAAACCGUGUGCUUACAAGUAGUCAGAGCCCGUUAAUGGGUGAUGGCGUGCCUUUUGUAGAAUGAACCGGCGAGUUACGAUUUGAUGCAAGGUUAAGCAGUAAAUGUGGAGCCGUAGCGAAAGCGAGUCUGAAUAGGGCGUUUAGUAUUUGGUCGUAGACCCGAAACCAGGUGAUCUACCCUUGGUCAGGUUGAAGUUCAGGUAACACUGAAUGGAGGACCGAACCGACUUACGUUGAAAAGUGAGCGGAUGAACUGAGGGUAGCGGAGAAAUUCCAAUCGAACCUGGAGAUAGCUGGUUCUCUCCGAAAUAGCUUUAGGGCUAGCCUCAAGUGAUGAUUAUUGGAGGUAGAGCACUGUUUGGACGAGGGGCCCCUCUCGGGUUACCGAAUUCAGACAAACUCCGAAUGCCAAUUAAUUUAACUUGGGAGUCAGAACAUGGGUGAUAAGGUCCGUGUUCGAAAGGGAAACAGCCCAGACCACCAGCUAAGGUCCCAAAAUAUAUGUUAAGUGGAAAAGGAUGUGGCGUUGCCCAGACAACUAGGAUGUUGGCUUAGAAGCAGCCAUCAUUUAAAGAGUGCGUAAUAGCUCACUAGUCGAGUGACACUGCGCCGAAAAUGUACCGGGGCUAAACAUAUUACCGAAGCUGUGGAUUGUCCUUUGGACAAUGGUAGGAGAGCGUUCUAAGGGCGUUGAAGCAUGAUCGUAAGGACAUGUGGAGCGCUUAGAAGUGAGAAUGCCGGUGUGAGUAGCGAAAGACGGGUGAGAAUCCCGUCCACCGAUUGAC
This 890-nucleotide ribosomal RNA is filed under the name Staphylococcus aureus. Its description in RNAcentral is "partial 23S ribosomal RNA". It matches the Rfam family "Bacterial large subunit ribosomal RNA", at positions 447 to 1345 of the family's 2925-position model. Lineage: Bacteria; Bacillati; Bacillota; Bacilli; Caryophanales; Staphylococcaceae. The record is from RNAcentral.